Molecule: small nuclear RNA, 103 nt
Organism: Hyaena hyaena (striped hyena)
Lineage: Eukaryota; Metazoa; Chordata; Mammalia; Carnivora; Hyaenidae
Source: RefSeq, a predicted model, not a curated record
GUGCUCACUUCAAUGCACGUAUACUGAAAUUGCAAUGAUAGAGAGAUGAUCAUGGCCACUCCGCAAAGAUCACAUGCAAGUUCCUGAAGAGUGACAUAUUUUU